CUACACACGUGCUACAAUGGGUAGUACAGAGAGUCGCAAAGCUGUGAGGUGGAGCUAAUCUCAGAAAACUAUUCUUAGUUCGGAUUGUACUCUGCAACUCGAGUACAUGAAGUUGGAAUCGCUAGUAAUCGCGAAUCAGCAAUGUCGCGGUGAAUACGUUCUCGGGUCUUGUACACACCGCCCGUCACACCACGAGAGUUGGUUGCACCUGAAGUAGCAGGCCUAACCGUAAGGAGGGAUGCUCCGAGGGUGUGAUUAGCGAUUGGGGUGAAGUCGUAACAAGGUAUCCGUACGGGAACGU
Molecule: ribosomal RNA, 301 nt
Filed under: uncultured Fusobacterium sp.
Lineage: Bacteria; Fusobacteriati; Fusobacteriota; Fusobacteriia; Fusobacteriales; Fusobacteriaceae
Description: bacterial SSU rRNA
Rfam family: Bacterial small subunit ribosomal RNA
Source: RNAcentral